RNAcentral lists this long non-coding RNA (1324 nucleotides) under Numida meleagris (helmeted guineafowl). RNAcentral's name for it is "lncRNA (ENSNMEG00000000524.1)". The record is from RNAcentral. Lineage: Eukaryota; Metazoa; Chordata; Aves; Galliformes; Numididae.
AUUUUUAUGUUUCUACCUGAAUGUCUUCAUUCCAAAUAUGUUUGUAAACUCUGAUGCUUCAACACCAUAACAUUUUAACACAUUAAAAAGUCAUUGAAAAUAUUGUAUUCACAUUUAAACCAUGCCUAAAUAUUCAAUUUAAGUCCAAAAUAUUUAGGUAGUUUGCAGAAAUACGAAAUGAUGAGGCAAAAAACUCACAAGAAUAUUCUAUUCAAGAGGUCAGUGCAAUCUUUGUUAAAAUAAAGUGCUCCUUUAAAAAGAAGCAUGACUGCUCAGUCCUGAAUAUGCCUUCAAAUAGUCGCAUCUGUAUUUCACCUUCUGAGAUGUCUUAAUUCUGAAUUUUUCUUUAUUUCUCUUUAAAAUUUUACCAGAACUUUAAUUUCCAUUUGACUCUCUGCUCAAUAACUCCUUAAGUUUACUACUUCUGCCAGAUUACAAAGGUAUCAUUAAGUAAUGCAAGUUCAUGUCUUAUUAGUAGACUAUACUGUUGACCUUCAUUUCCUCAUGUCCCAUCUUGCUUUGAAUUUUAAUGUUCCCAGUCCCAUUUUAUUUACCUAGCCUUUUAGAUUUUCACUUGUGAAAACAAGGCCAGAAAAAUAGAAGAACCUUGAUCUCACCUUGGACUUCUGGCUUUCCGAGGCAAACUAAAGGUUAUCUGGAAACAAACACAGAGCUGCUAUCUGAGUACGGGCUUUUACAGGCUGUAAAUAUCAUCCCUCGGGUUGCUGACAACAAUUUGAGGACAGAGGCCCAAAUACACAGCAACAGCCUUCUCCCACCAGAUGUGCAUUGUUUUCUGUGCAGCAGAACAGAAACUCUCAUUUUGCUUUCUUGUGGUAUGUAUUUUAAUAGUCUCAUCUGUAUGGCACUGAAUCAGGUUUUUCUCACAAUAUUUGAACAUGUUAACUGUGUAACAAAAAUGCCGUGUUGAAAAUUGCAUUGUAACUUGGACAGAACUUUCAAGUGAAAAGGAAAGUUUUACAGUGAGGAGUGGUUUGAGGUGGUUUUAAUACAUUCAGCCUCUUUCAGAGAGGAGCUUUCUUCUGUUACGUUAAUUUUUUUCUUAACUAAUGACUUCUGUCAUGAGGCAGACAAAUUCAUUGUAAGUAUAUUUCUCUGAGGUCUGACCUUUUUGCAAAAAGUAGAUGUUGAUAGUAGUAGGACACUGAUGUGACAGAAUGGGCUAUGAAUGAUGUGACAUAGGCUUGGAUCACCUUGUUUGCUACAGAUAACAAUAAGAAAUAUCACGUUUUUGUUCCGUUUCUAGAUAUAUCUUUCCUUAAGGAAAAAAAGUAAAUAAAGUAAUCCAGGUUAUAUGAAGUCA